AGUGAACGCUGGCGGUAGGCCUAACACAUGCAAGUCGAACGGCAGCACAGUAAGAGCUUGCUCUUACGGGUGGCGAGUGGCGGACGGGUGAGGAAUACAUCGGAAUCUACUUUUUCGUGAGGGAUAACGUAGGGAAACUUACGCUAAUACCGCAUACGACCUACGGGUGAAAGCAGGGGAUCUUCGGACCUUGCGCGAUUGAAUGAGCCGAUGUCGGAUUAGCUAGUUGGCGGGGUAAAGGCCCACCAAGGCGACGAUCCGUAGCUGGUCUGAGAGGAUGAUCAGCCACACUGGAACUGAGACACGGUCCAGACUCCUACGGGAGGCAGCAGUGGGGAAUAUUGGACAAUGGGCGCAAGCCUGAUCCAGCCAUACCGCGUGGGUGAAGAAGGCCUUCGGGUUGUAAAGCCCUUUUGUUGGGAAAGAAAAGCAGCAGGUUAAUACCCCGCUGUUCUGACGGUACCCAAAGAAUAAGCACCGGCUAACUUCGU
This 491-nucleotide ribosomal RNA is filed under the name uncultured bacterium. RNAcentral describes it as "partial 16S ribosomal RNA". It matches the Rfam family "Bacterial small subunit ribosomal RNA", at positions 29 to 506 of the family's 1533-position model. The record is from RNAcentral.